This 484-nucleotide ribosomal RNA is filed under the name uncultured bacterium. RNAcentral's name for it is "partial 16S ribosomal RNA". It matches the Rfam family "Bacterial small subunit ribosomal RNA", at positions 30 to 507 of the family's 1533-position model. The record is from RNAcentral.
AUUGAACGCUGGCGGCAGGCCUAACACAUGCAAGUCGAGCGGAUGAAGGGAGCUUGCUCCUGGAUUCAGCGGCGGACGGGUGAGUAAUGCCUAGGAAUCUGCCUGGUAGUGGGGGAUAACGUCCGGAAACGGGCGCUAAUACCGCAUACGUCCUGAGGGAGAAAGUGGGGGAUCUUCGGACCUCACGCUAUCAGAUGAGCCUAGGUCGGAUUAGCUAGUUGGUGGGGUAAAGGCCUACCAAGGCGACGAUCCGUAACUGGUCUGAGAGGAUGAUCAGUCACACUGGAACUGAGACACGGUCCAGACUCAUACGGGAGGCAGCAGUGGGGAAUAUUGGACAAUGGGCGAAAGCCUGAUACAGCCAUGCCGCGUGUGUGAAGAAGGUCUUCGGAUUGUAAAGCACUUUAAGUUGGGAGGAAGGGCAGUAAGUUAAUACCUUGCUGUUUUGACGUUACCAACAGAAUAAGCACCGGCUAACUUCGUG